RNAcentral lists this transfer RNA (69 nucleotides) under Paracymoriza prodigalis. Its description in RNAcentral is "tRNA-Cys". Lineage: Eukaryota; Metazoa; Arthropoda; Insecta; Lepidoptera; Crambidae. The record is from RNAcentral.
AGUUUUAUAGUCAAAUAUGAUUUAAAAUUGCAAAUUUUAAGGUAUAGUUAUAUAUAAUUAUUAAGGCUU